UACAGAGGUCUCAAGCGUUGUUCGGAAUUACUGGGCGUAAAGGGCUCGUAGGUGGCCAACUAAGUCAGACGUGAAAUCCCUCAGCUUAACUGGGGAACUGCGUCUGAUACUGGAUGGCUUGAGUUUGGGAGAGGGAUGCGGAAUUCCAGGUGUAGCGGUGAAAUGCGUAGAUAUCUGGAGGAACACCGGUGGCGAAGGCGGCAUCCUGGACCAACACUGACACUGAGGAGCGAAAGCCAGGGGAGCAAACGGG
This 253-nucleotide ribosomal RNA is filed under the name uncultured bacterium. Its description in RNAcentral is "partial 16S ribosomal RNA". It matches the Rfam family "Bacterial small subunit ribosomal RNA", at positions 524 to 776 of the family's 1533-position model. The record is from RNAcentral.